GUUUGUUUGGAGCUUUAAAUAAUUUGGCCUGCCCCCUGAGCAAUAAAAAUUAAAGGGCCGCAGUAUUAUAACUGUGCAAAGGUAGCAUAAUCAUUAGGUUUUUAAUUAGGAUCUUGUAUGAAUGGUUGGACAAAAGGAGUACUCUCUUUAUAUUAAAUUUUGAAUUUAACUUUUAAGUGAAAAGGCUUAAAUAUUCUAAAGGGACGAUAAGACCCUGUAAAACUUUACAUUGUAAUUAUAUUUUAUUUAAAUUUAUAAAUAAAAGUUUACUAUAAUUAGUUGUUUUGUUGGGGAGACAUAAGUAAAAUAUUAUUUUAACUGUUUAAUAAUUAGAACAAUUAUAAAUGAUAAGUAGAAGAUCCUUUUUAAAGAUUAAUAAAUUAAGUUACUUUAGGGAUAACAGCGUAAUUUCUUUUAAGAGUUCGUAUCGAAAAAGGAGUUUGCGACCUCGAUGUUGAAUUAAAAAAUCUAUAUAAUGUAGGAGUUAUAUAAGAAGGUCUGUUCGACCUUUAAAAUUUUACAUGAUUUGAGUUCAAACCGGUGUGAG
RNAcentral lists this ribosomal RNA (547 nucleotides) under Insulamon sp. ISn1. RNAcentral's name for it is "partial 16S rRNA". It matches the Rfam family "Bacterial large subunit ribosomal RNA", at positions 1831 to 2625 of the family's 2925-position model. The record is from RNAcentral. Lineage: Eukaryota; Metazoa; Arthropoda; Malacostraca; Decapoda; Potamidae.